AGGGUAAUAGGUCAUUGGUAGAGCACAUGCUUAGCAUGCAGGAGGUCCUGGGUUCAAUCCCCAGUACCUCCA
This 72-nucleotide transfer RNA is filed under the name Camelus bactrianus (Bactrian camel). It matches the Rfam family "tRNA". From Rfam's summary of the family: Transfer RNA (tRNA) molecules are approximately 80 nucleotides in length. Their secondary structure includes four short double-helical elements and three loops (D, anti-codon, and T loops). Lineage: Eukaryota; Metazoa; Chordata; Mammalia; Artiodactyla; Camelidae. The record is from Rfam by way of RNAcentral. RNAcentral also lists the same sequence under 2 other names.